Molecule: ribosomal RNA, 587 nt
Filed under: uncultured Verrucomicrobiota bacterium
Lineage: Bacteria; Pseudomonadati; Verrucomicrobiota
Description: bacterial SSU rRNA
Rfam family: Bacterial small subunit ribosomal RNA
Source: RNAcentral
UGAUAGUAUCAGAAGAGGAAGGGACGGCUAACUCUGUGCCAGCAGCCGCGGUAAUACAGAGGUCCCAAGCGUUGUUCGGAUUCAUUGGGCGUAAAGGGUGCGUAGGUGGCGUGGUAAGUCGGGUGUGAAAUUUCGGAGCUUAACUCCGAAACUGCAUUAGAUACUGCCGUGCUUGAGGACUGGAGAGGAGACUGGAAUUUACGGUGUAGCAGUGAAAUGCGUAGAGAUCGUAAGGAAGACCAGUGGCGAAGGCGGGUCUCUGGACAGUUCCUGACACUGAGGCGCGAAGGCCAGGGGAGCAAACGGGAUUAGAUACCCCGGUAGUCCUGGCAGUAAACGGUGCACGUUUGGUGUGGGAGGAUUCGACCCCUUCCGCGCCGGAGCUAACGCGUUAAACGUGCCGCCUGGGGAGUACGGUCGCAAGAUUAAAACUCAAAGAAAUUGACGGGGGCCCGCACAAGCGGUGGAGUAUGUGGCUUAAUUCGAUGCAACGCGAGGAACCUUACCUGGCCUUGACAUGUAUCUCUAAGCACGUGAAAGCGUGUGAGUCUCGAAAGAGACAAUUUACACAGGUGCUGCAUGGCUGU